ACUUAAAUAGCUUAAGUUAAAGCUUAAUAUUGAAGAUAUUAUGAUAGUAUUUAUACUUUUAAGUA
Molecule: transfer RNA, 65 nt
Filed under: Meschia woodwardi
Lineage: Eukaryota; Metazoa; Arthropoda; Insecta; Hemiptera; Meschiidae
Description: tRNA-Phe
Source: RNAcentral